This 523-nucleotide ribosomal RNA is filed under the name Escherichia coli. RNAcentral describes it as "partial 23S ribosomal RNA". It matches the Rfam family "Bacterial large subunit ribosomal RNA", at positions 949 to 1474 of the family's 2925-position model. Lineage: Bacteria; Pseudomonadati; Pseudomonadota; Gammaproteobacteria; Enterobacterales; Enterobacteriaceae. The record is from RNAcentral.
GCAAACUGCGAAUACCGGAGAAUGUUAUCACGGGAGACACACGGCGGGUGCUAACGUCCGUCGUGAAGAGGGAAACAACCCAGACCGCCAGCUAAGGUCCCAAAGUCAUGGUUAAGUGGGAAACGAUGUGGGAAGGCCCAGACAGCCAGGAUGUUGGCUUAGAAGCAGCCAUCAUUUAAAGAAAGCGUAAUAGCUCACUGGUCGAGUCGGCCUGCGCGGAAGAUGUAACGGGGCUAAACCAUGCACCGAAGCUGCGGCAGCGACGCUUAUGCGUUGUUGGGUAGGGGAGCGUUCUGUAAGCCUGUGAAGGUGUGCUGUGAGGCAUGCUGGAGGUAUCAGAAGUGCGAAUGCUGACAUAAGUAACGAUAAAGCGGGUGAAAAGCCCGCUCGCCGGAAGACCAAGGGUUCCUGUCCAACGUUAAUCGGGGCAGGGUGAGUCGACCCCUAAGGCGAGGCCGAAAGGCGUAGUCGAUGGGAAACAGGUUAAUAUUCCUGUACUUGGUGUUACUGCGAAGGGGGGACG